UGGGGAAUAUUGCACAAUGGGCGAAAGCCUGAUGCAGCAACGCCGCGUGAGCGAUGAAGGCCUUCGGGUCGUAAAGCUCUGUCCUCAAGGAAGAAUAAUGACGGUACUUGAGGAAGGAAAGCCCCGGCUAACUACGUG
RNAcentral lists this ribosomal RNA (138 nucleotides) under uncultured bacterium. RNAcentral's name for it is "partial 16S rRNA". It matches the Rfam family "Bacterial small subunit ribosomal RNA", at positions 355 to 507 of the family's 1533-position model. The record is from RNAcentral.